UUAUUUAUAGACUUGAAGUUGCUUAAGUGCUCACACAAAUUGCUUGAUGAUUUUAUUGUUUAGAGAGACUGAUAUUUGUUCUUUAACAAUGUGGUAAAAAGUAUAAGUAAAGAUUCCUUGAUUAAUUUAGGGUUAUUUUUAUUUUCGAUUGAGAUGUAUUUUUAUGUUUUGAUUGAUAAAUGGGAAUAAUUUUUAGUUUAUUUAAUUAACGAGUCUUGGUAAUUUUUGAAAACCGGUGUUGAGAUAUAGUUUUGAUUGGUUUUAGUAAUAGAUUUUAGAUUUAUUGAUAUAAGACUUUUUGGGGUAAUAUCAA
This 313-nucleotide unclassified non-coding RNA is filed under the name Piscirickettsia salmonis. Its description in RNAcentral is "partial 16S-23S ribosomal RNA intergenic spacer". The record is from RNAcentral. Lineage: Bacteria; Pseudomonadati; Pseudomonadota; Gammaproteobacteria; Thiotrichales; Piscirickettsiaceae.